This 497-nucleotide ribosomal RNA is filed under the name uncultured bacterium. RNAcentral's name for it is "partial 16S ribosomal RNA". It matches the Rfam family "Bacterial small subunit ribosomal RNA", at positions 28 to 507 of the family's 1533-position model. The record is from RNAcentral.
GAUGAACGCUGGCGGCGUGCCUAAUACAUGCAAGUCGAGCGAACAGACGAGGAGCUUGCUCCUCUGACGUUAGCGGCGGACGGGUGAGUAACACGUGGAUAACCUACCUAUAAGACUGGGAUAACUUCGGGAAACCGGAGCUAAUACCGGAUAAUAUAUUGAACCGCAUGGUUCAAUAGUGAAAGACGGUUUUGCUGUCACUUAUAGAUGGAUCCGCGCCGCAUUAGCUAGUUGGUAAGGUAACGGCUUACCAAGGCAACGAUGCGUAGCCGACCUGAGAGGGUGAUCGGCCACACUGGAACUGAGACACGGUCCAGACUCCUACGGGAGGCAGCAGUAGGGAAUCUUCCGCAAUGGGCGAAAGCCGGACGGAGCAACGCCGGGUGGGUGAUGAAGGUCUUCGGAUCGUAAAACUCUGUUAUUAGGGAAGAACAAAUGUGUAAGUAACUAUGCACGUCUUGACGGUACCUUAUCAGAAAGCCACGGCUAACUACGUG